Molecule: ribosomal RNA, 506 nt
Filed under: uncultured bacterium
Lineage: Bacteria
Description: partial 16S ribosomal RNA
Rfam family: Bacterial small subunit ribosomal RNA
Source: RNAcentral
AUUGAACGCUGGCGGCAGGCCUAACACAUGCAAGUCGAACGGUAACAGGAAGCAGCUUGCUGCUUCGCUGACGAGUGGCGGACGGGUGAGUAAUGUCUGGGAAACUGCCCGAUGGAGGGGGAUAACUACUGGAAACGGUAGCUAAUACCGCAUAACGUCGCAAGACCAAAGAGGGGGACCUUCGGGCCUCUUGCCAUCGGAUGUGCCCAGAUGGGAUUAGCUUGUUGGUGAGGUAACGGCUCACCAAGGCGACGAUCCCUAGCUGGGCUGAGAGGAUGACCAGCCACACUGGAACCGAGACACGGUCCAGACUCCUACGGGAGGCAGCAGUGGGGAAUAUUGCACAAUGGGCGCAAGCCUGAUGCAGCCAUGCCGCGUGUAUGAAGAAGGCCUUCGGGUUGUAAAGUACUUUCAGCGGGGAGGAAGGUGUUGUGGUUAAUAACCGCAGCAAUUGACGUUACCCGCAGAAGAAGCACCGGCUAACUCCGUGCCAGCAGCCGCAGUAA